AUAAGAAUCAUCUGGGGAUUCUCCUUAAAAUGUGGAUUCUGAUUCAAUAACUCUGGGGUGGGUGUGGGAUUCUACACUUCUCAUAGCUCCAAGGUGAUGCGGAA
Molecule: microRNA precursor, 104 nt
Filed under: Marmota monax (woodchuck)
Lineage: Eukaryota; Metazoa; Chordata; Mammalia; Rodentia; Sciuridae
Source: RNAcentral